This is a long non-coding RNA of Pomacea canaliculata, 3914 nucleotides long. RefSeq lists it as uncharacterized. The transcript is spliced from 4 exons. The record is from RefSeq and is a predicted model, not a curated record. Lineage: Eukaryota; Metazoa; Mollusca; Gastropoda; Architaenioglossa; Ampullariidae.
AAGAGAAUAGAGAAUACGUGAAAUAACUUCUUUAUUGAAACUUUGUGGUAACAAGAUGCCUCCGAAGUAAACGUACACAAACAACUUGAGGAACUCGCUUUAGAUAAAAUAUUUCUGAGCCAAAAAGUAAAUAUACUCUAUCUGUUCUUUUAACUUCUCUGUUUCAAUACUUACUCAUAACGGUAGACAAAGAUACUGCCCCGUCUCAAUACUCGCUCAAUGAAUCGUGAAAACCCAAUGUGACAUGCGACAGCUUCAACAAUGACUAGGUUGAGGGCAACAAAUUCAAGAGGUCAAAAAGGUGUUAACGAUUGCUUUUCAGGAAACCCACUUGAGAGCAUGGAAAAAAUUGCCUAAUGGUUCUGAGGGUUCUAAACCAUAACUACUUCUGUUUUUAACUUUUUUUUCGCGACUGUCAUUGGAUAAUUUUUUUUCUACGUCUGUAAAAGUCCUUCUUUGGUACCAAUGACUAUAGGGGAAGUUUUACAUGACAAUCAUAUCUCUAAACAAUAUCUGUAGUCAUAGUUUGGACAACAAGACCCCAAAGAGUUUUCUGAGGCACGUUUACUCAGACCUCCGAUGCAACAAUUGUUAGAACACAAGACCAAUAGGCUGAUUGAAUACUCUGAUGUUCUUAAGAGCAAUAGUACAUGACAGUGUUUGUGACAUGGCAAUGUUUUGUGAAUCAGUUAUGAACACAUUUGUCCCCAGAAAACGGUUGGGGACAACUUCUCUAGCCAUUUGUACUCAACAGCAUAACAUUUUUAUAAUAAAUUUCUGUAACAUGUCUACAAAACCUGUCCACAAACAGUAACGUGUAACUGAACUUACAGAUUCAGAGAAAAACAAAAGCUUGGCAGCAGUAGUGGCGACUGCAGAAGUUCGAAGACAAGAUUUGAAGAUUUAACACGGUAUAUGCAGACGAUUUCAAAUAAAAACAAUAUGAAUGUCUCUGUACAAACAUCACAGCAUAACAAAAUAAUGCAAAUAAUUAUGAUAGUAAUAUAAUAUAAAAAAUAAUAUUUAUGAGAAUUAGAAAAUAUCGUACAAAAUGUUGCAGGGUGGGUUAGGUGAAAAAGUUGCCACCGAGUAAUACUUCACUUUCAUCUCAUAGGAUUUUAUGUCAUCACGAACUUGUAUUACUGGACUGCUGGCAGAAGAUUUUAUUUUCCAGUUUACUACUAAAACGAGGCACGAGACUUCCGGUUUAGUCACAUUCUUUGUUUAGGCUCGCCGAAACUAACGCGGAGAACUUCGCAAGAAGCAAAGCGUUGGUCUUGGCAGACAGACCACCUAUACACAUCUAUGAUGUUACUGCCUCAUAAACUAUAGUCCGACAUCUGGUAUGAAUUAAUGUUAUGGCUUGCUGCUCGCAAACUCACAAACCAUAACCGUGGAAUUGUUCACGAUCCUAAACCUGACUAACGAUUUCUAACACCCAGAAAUGACUCAUGGCUCUUGUACGAGCUGAGUGGUCUCUCGAACUCGGUCCUCGAGCCUCAUUUCUCACGAGUCUAUUUCCUCUGUGACAAAUAUCCUUUGAUAUCAGGUGGUCAGAUAAUAUUUCUAAAGGGCAAGGUUCACAGUGAAGUCUUCUUUGGUUGGUGUUAGCAAAUCGUCCAUAUCUCUACAGUAAAUAUUAAUAUCACGAGACUAAUUAGGACAGUAAUGGCUGUCAAGAGAGAGAGAACAGAGAACACCGUUAUAAACGUGAAAAAAAUAACCAAAACUUAUAUCGUCUUUGUAAGAACUACAUUGUUACAAUUCACAGUUCCUUCAUGGAAUAAUUGUUUCUGCUGUUCUAGACCUGCCCUUGUUUCCUUGGUGCUGAGAUGAGACGAUACUUCAGAUUCGGAACGAUGACCAUUCAGAUAUUCUUAAAAUAUCUUCCGUUCCCUGUCACCUGAGUACUUGAUCAGACGACCAACCACUGGCGUGACAGCAUGCUACUUCCUCGUUCUCAGAGUGACAGGUCAACAGGACAUGUGUUAUGGUGGUUUGGAAUCAUUCGAGAGAAACAUUUGUGCUUUUUGUGAUUGGAACUACCAAGCUGCCUGAGAUGCUUUUCUGGACAGAAUUGGCGUACUGCUGCCUUGCAAGAUAUCUACUUAUUUCUUCGUGGAGUCAGCUACAACCAAGACGCAGAAAAACAAACAUGGUCAUUUUUAUGUGGCUCCACACAUUAUUUCCUGAAUGAACCACCUCAUUUCAUCCUGUUUCUGAACUUUGGACUGAGUCAUCGUCUCCUGAAGACAAGGUGGUCAGCGAUUAGACAGCGCCCUCUGGAGCAGCAUGCAUGACCUACAAGCACUGACGAUGCAUGGCCAGUGAAGUGUGACAUGUCCGUCUCUGGACUUCCUGCCAAAGUUGGAUUACGAUUCAAGUACUUCGUGAGGUUGAAGGGCAUCCCUCUACUUGCUGAUGCUGUAUGACAAUCAAGCCUGAACAAAAAAUGAGGGGUACCUGUUGGAUAAUGGUUAAUGAAAUGAGGAAGCCAAAGCCACAAAAGGUGAUAUCUACCUUUUCUGCGACAAAUGUAAAGAUUUCCCUGCGAGAAGUGUUUCUUUUAUGCGAGGACAAUGACAAGACAUGCAUCUAUCAGGCACUAUAAACAACAAUUUUGUGUUACUUAUAUUGCUGUAUAUUUGAUACUGAGUGAAAUAUAUCUGUUAUGUAUAUUUCGUUAAGAAGGGGACAUUCCUUUAACAAGCUUUAGGGACCUGAACAAGUCACAACCUUAUCAAUCCCUGUCAAUAAGACAAUCUUUAGAAAAAAACUGUUAAGAAGUUGGAGUUAAAAUUUUCGAUACAUAAAUAAUUUUGUCAUUGUCUUCAAUAUCAUUUUGUACCCGUGGCCACUGAUAAGUAAGGGGAGGCCAUCUGUUAAAUAAUUGCUGUAAGCUUACACUGUGAGAAUCAGCUUCAUCAUUGAAAUAUUUGGUACAGAUUGUUUAACAUCUUGUUGAAGUUUAUGUAUUAAAGCAAGCUUUUAAAUGAGUUGUGGUACAGCAUGUGAGAAGAUAACUUUCAGUUUUAACAUGAUUUAUUUUUAUUUCAUGAUUAACUAUAAUCGUGUAUAUGGAUUAGCUCCCUUUUCAUAUAGUUAGUGAAAUACAUUAUAUUAACACAGUUCCCAAUUAAAAAUGUGAUAAUUUGAGCAUGAAUUUAAAGCUUUUGUUGUGAAUGGCUUGAGUUUCUUGGAGGUAUUACAAAAGGUAGAUUAGCUUAUGCAUCACAUCUUAAAGAUGGCGCAGCUUGAGAAUGGUUCAAUGUUGCAGCAGUAAGUCACCUUCAGUUCUUACUACACACAAAAUGUCAUUUACUCUAUCUCUCUCAUCUACAUAUACCCUUGAAUUUAAGCAAAGAAACUUGUAUAUAAAUGAAUAGUUGUUGUUCCUUAUUGACCGGAAGAAAGAUUAAUUUUUUUUUUAGCUUUUUUACAUUUUAAUGAUUACUAUUCAUGAAAUCUCAAGCAUGACUUAAGCCCACAGACAGUACUUUGCUACACUGUACGAUAAGGGGUUAAUUUGGUUUAUGGGUAGGUAUUAAAGAACAGUUUAAGACAAGAAUUAAACAAUUAAAAAUUAUGUUAGGUGAAGUAAAGAUCACGAGGUAAAGAGUUUAAAAAGAUAUUAGAAAUAUUAAAUUUUUUUUAAAAGAUUUACAUGAGAUCUGAAGGCAAGUACCAUUAUUGCAAGAAGGCAAUAGAUUAAUAACUACUGCAAGUGUUCUUUUGCAUAAAUAUGGACUAAAAAUUAAAGAAUAAAAAGUCGAUUUUUCUUCUGCAUGUCAUGGAUACAAGCAGUGUAAAUGCACAUGACAUGUUCAUAUGUGUUCUUUCAGAUAACAAAAAACAAACACCUGCCUGUUGGUCUCCUGAAUAUUUAGACCAAAGGAAAUAAAGUUUGGCAUUUU